ACAGAUUAAGCAAAUGGAAUUUCAUAGAAUAGAAUUGAAAGAGAACGAAAUUAAAUUGAUAGAAUAAAAACCUCAAAGCCUUGGAAAUUCGGUUACAACAGAUUGACUCUAGAAGAUUAGUUCCUCUUCAUGAUCGUACGAAAGCAAAAAGUCAUUAUGAAUAAUGUGUCUUUUCUACAGAACCGCGGCUGCCCUUUUAAACAGAAUAAGGGUUUCACUAAUAAUUCAAACUGGGCCGGAAAACAUAAAUUCGGCCCAACAAAUGGUCCAAAAGAAAAUAUUUCCUAAAGUACGAAACUUCAACGAAUUAAUUGAGAUGUCUUCAUUCCUAAUCAGCUUUUGGCUUCAACAUAAAAGUUGUAGCUCUUUCUCUUAGCUUUCCAACGCUUGUUAGAACUUGCAAAAGGGCAUCCCGUAGCUCAAGUUAUGAUCCGAACAGUGGACAUGUAUCAAAUAACCGCUAAAACUGAAAAAUAGCAAACGAAAAUAGAUUAUAGGAAACCAUUAACUUAAAUCUAAAAACAUAAUAAAAUAGUAAAAUAAGCAAAAUAAACUAGAUAAAUGCCCAAAUACAAUUAUAGAAGAAUGUGUGUCAAAAUGCACUGAUCAAAUUCUCCCACACUUGAACUUUUGCACUCUGAGCAAAAUUACAAUUUCAAAACAAAAGGAAAGAAAACAGAGCAUGCACUUCUAAAAGUUUUCAAGAUACAAGGUAUAAGCAUAAUUCUAAGUUUAAGCUUCAAGAAUAUUGUGUUAGUAAGCAACUUUUUGUGACAUUCAAAGCAGAUAGAAAAACAGAUUACCAAAAAGUACAUCAACAGCGGUAAGAUCCUCAUAGGAUAUAAUUCACUCAACUCUCAAGUGUUUAGAUUAACUGUUUACACUCAAAGCACAACAUGAAAAUUAGUACUACCAUAAGCUUGAAAGGACUCUAACAUCCACAGUUGAAAUACAUGCACAAAAAGAUCAAAAGGACUUUUAUUUGGUUGUAACGUGGUCAAGGUAAGGGUGAGAUAAAUUCUAAGGGGUACUAGACUAAAACUCAAAGAGAUAAAAGAGACUUGAAAGAAACUGCGGGAGUUGAAUUUACAAAAUAUUUCAUUCACUUGAACAACUCUAUAGCAAUUGUUUUCUCUUCUCCUUCCUCUUUUUAUUCAUUUUUUUAAGGAGUAUGUAUUGACAUGUAUUAAAAUAUUACAAAAAUAAUUCCUUUUUUUCUUCCUCUUAGCCUUCUAUUUUUUUCUUCCUCUUAUCCUUCUAUUUUUCCAUUCCUUUUUUUUUCUAUUUUCUUUUUCUAUUUUUUUUCUUUUUCUGCCAACUUCUGAAAUAUUAUGAACAUUAUUAUUCAACCCCACACAACUCCAAACAAUACUCUUUCAACCCUUUGAAUAGGGUGAUAACAUUGUUUUUCACUUCUCGGCUUAUAAUGAGUUUUAAACAAAAAAGGGAGAAUAGGCUCAAGGGGGUUUCGAACAAGGGAUGAAAUUAUUUCAGGGUUGGCUUUUUGGCUAACUGGCUAAAAAAACAAAAACAAAAUUGUCUUUAUCAUAUCAGUGUGCAUAAGUAAACAACAACAUCAAUAAGAGUCAAUUCAAGUUCUAGAGACUAACAGACAUGAGUGAAUCAUACAAGAAAGAAAGAGAUGGAUUUUUGUAUGUUAUCCAUAUAAGGCUCAAAGCUCACCAGGGUUAAUGAUCUACUGCUAAAGAUAUACAAUUUAGAGUUUAUUGUAUGUUAUCCAUAUAAGGCUCAAAGCUCACCAGGGUUAAUGAUCUACUGCUAAAGAUAUACAAUUUAGAGUUUAGUCAUACCUAUCAUACUAAAAAUGCACAGCAAAUUUUUCACAUCACACCAUAAGACUUUAGUCAAGAGAACUAGAAAAAUACUCAUAAUUGUAACUCAAAAACCAAAGGAAAAAACAUGCAUUUUUUUAAGAAAGCAAACAAAACAAAUAAACGGUUCCCUCCCCCACACUUAAAACAUACAUUGUCUUCAAUGAAAGAGCAUAAAUAUAAAAUAAGAGUGAGAGAAAGGAAAAAACACACCCGAGGAGUCAAAGCGGAUAAGUGAUUGCAUAAGCAGCCUUUCUCAAAGAGAGUUAUUCUAUAGUCUCUGCUUCCAAAGUCGGAUUCUCAUGUAGUAGAUUUGGGUAGUGUCAAUUGACCUUAAAAUUUUUGAUUAGUGCAUUCGCCUUGUAUUCCAGAAUCAUAGAAGAAUCUUUGAUAAGUAAAAGUGUUGAAUGGGCACGUGAAAGUGAUCUCCUUUUUCACAACAUCAGGAAUCAAAGGAUUACAGGGUUGUAUCACUACUUUUGUUUCAUCUUUAAGCGAGAUCCUAUGCAUACAUAUGGAUGAACUAAUAUCACGAGUGUCAGUCAAGGUCCAUCCAAUUCCCUUCUUAUAUUUCUGCUUAAGUUGAAGCUUUGAUGAAUAAUAUGAAUCCUCGGGAAGUGGUUUAGGCUCUAAAGAAUGUGGUUGUUCAAUGCAUGGUAUGUUUGGGGCAACAAGGUCCAUCCAAUUCCCUUCUUAUAUUUCUGCUUAAGUUGAAGCUUUGAUGAAUAAUAUGAAUCCUCGGGAAGUGGUUUAGGCUCUAAAGAAUGUGGUUGUUCAAUGCAUGGUAUGUUUGGGGCAGCCGGAAUGUCAAGAGCUUCAGCCACAUAAACAACUUUGUUUAUACUAUCACCCUACAAGGCAACAUCAAUCUCAACAUAAAUAACACAAAGGUUAGUGUCAGUAUAAUCAUCACAUGAAUAAACAUCAUCAAACCCAGAUAGAGAUGGAAAAUCAAGUGAAAACAAUUCAGAAAAAGUGUCAUCAACCGACUCAGAGAUCAAUUCAAUAUGAAAAACAGAAUGCUCUUCCAAGGGAUGUUUCAUGGCAUCGUCGACAUCAAUUUUUGUUUUCGCUGUUUUCAUGAAUGGUCUGCCUAAAAUGAUAAGCGUUCUGCUUGAAUUUGUUUCUCCAUACAUGUUCAGAGUGUAGAAAUCUGCAGGAAAAAUCAAGUCAUUAACUUGAACAAGCACAUCUUCCACUACUCCACUAGGGCGAGCAUUACUUUUGUUCGUUAGUUGAAUGAUUAAACUUGUAUGCUGUAAAGGACCAAGAUCAAGGUUAUUAUAAACAGAAGUAGGCAUAACAUUAAUUCCUGCUCCCAAAUCAAGCAUGCAAUUGUCGAAUUUACUAUCCCCAAUGGUACACAGAAUAUCAAAAGUUCCUGGAUCCUUGCACUUUUGGGGUAUGGCCUGAUUGAGGGAUGAAACAAUAGCUUUUUCAGGUGAGUGUUUAGGCUGGAUAAGGGCUGAAAUGUUUCGUCCCAAAUUUACUCUCUCAUUACCCUUCAACCUUUUCUUACUUGUGCACAAGUCUUUUAGAAAUUUUGCAUACUUUGGAACCUGCUUAAUAACAUCAAGAAGCGGAAUGUUUACCGCCACUUUUCUGAACACAUCUAAAAUCUCUCUCUAUCAACCUUUUCUUACUUGUGCACAAGUCUUUUAGAAAUUUUGCAUACUUUGGAACCUGCUUAAUAACAUCAAGAAGCGGAAUGUUUACCGCCACUUUUCUGAACACAUCUAAAAUCUCUCUCUCCUUCUCUCCAUCACCAGUCCUUUUAUUUUUCAGUAUUCUAUGUCGGAAGGGAACUGGUGGCGCAUACUCCUUCUCUUUUUCUUUUUCAGUUUCUACCACAACAAAGGGUUCAGUUUCUAUCACAAUGGAAGAAGGUUCAGGUGUUACCUCAAGAAUUUUUUUUAUUUUUUCCUGGGGUUGGUUCUGUUACCUUCUCGGAUCUCAAAGAAAGUACACUCACAUUAGCAUUAGGGCCUCUUGGAUUCACAACUGUUUGGGCAGGAAGUUGGUUUGAUCCUUGGGCUUGCUGCAUAGCAUUCAUCGAAGUGGCAAGCUGUCCAAUUUGUGUUUGCAAAGUCUGAAUACUGGAAUUUGUUCGUUGCUAAAAUUGGAGAUUGUUAACAGUUAUUUGUUUGACAAGAUCCUCCAAUGAAGGUCCAGAAGGUGCAGAGGUGGAGACUUGGGGAGUGGUAUGUGGUUGUGGCAGGGGUAUGACUAAUUAUUGUUGGGUGGGCUGCUGGUUUCCAUAUCGAAGGUUUGGAUGGUUCCUCCAAUUGGGAUGAUAUUUGUUGGUGGAAAAGUCAGGAAUGUUGUACCCUCUCUGAUUAUUGCUUUGGUUGAAAAAGUUAGUUGCAUAUGCUUGAGGCAACUGAGUGACCGAAUCAUCUUGAAGAAUAGGACAUGUGUCAGUUGGAUGUUCAGUAGAAGUACAAAUACCACACAACUUUGUUGUUUGAGGUUUGCUCACUGCCAUUUGUUUCACUAAAGAAGUAAGCUCUUCAAUUCUGGUUUCUAAAGCCUUGUUGGAAGAGGAAACCUGAAUGUCAUUCACACCUUUUGUUUGGACCAUAGAAUUAUUUCUGGUUGUGAAUUGUUGGGAGUUGAGUGACAUGUUCUCAAUCAGGGCUUUAGCAGCAACUGGAGUUUUAUCGACAAGUGCUCCACCAUUAGCAGCAUCAAGAAUGUUUCUAUCUAUUGGUAACAAUCCCUCAUAGAAAUACUGAAUAAGUAGUUGUUCGAUAAUUUGAUGUUGAGGGCAACUGGAUACUAAUUGUUUGAAUCUCUCCCAAUACUCAGUCAAUGACUCAUUUCCCUGUCUAAUACCAUAUAUUUCUUUUCGGAUUGAUGCAGCCCUGGAGGCAGGAAAGUAUCUCUCUAGAAAGACUCUCUUCAAAUCAUUCCAAGUCGUGACAGAAUUCAACUCAAGAUAAUAUAACCAAUCAUUGGCAACACCUUGUAGUGAAAACGGGAAGGCUCUCAACUUUAUGUGAUCUUCGGUGAUUCCUUCAGGUCUCAAUGGUGUAAAACAAACAACCUGAAAUUCCUUAAGAUGCUUAUGCGGAUCCUCACCUGCAAGACCACUAAACCUUGGCAACAAGUGUAUUAAACCAGAUUUCAACUCAAAAGGAACAGUAACAUCAACAUAUUCAAUACAUAAACCAUUGUAUUCACUAUCAGUGGAGCAGAAGUUCUCUCAGGUCUUUUGGUCAGCCAUAUUAAACUCAAUAGAAAAAAAAAUCAACAAACAAUGAGAAAACACAUAACUAAUUCAGCAAUGCAGCAACAAAUAGGAAAAUACCGACAAUGUCCCUAUUAAGAACAAACAAUUGAAAUACGUAAAAAAACUAUUAAAAUAAAAGGAAAAAAAAUACAAAAACACAAAAAUUAGUCUAAUAACGUCAAUUAAAAUUUUUGAGAUUUUUUUCGGAAUUUUCUGAAAUUAUCAAAAUAGAAAAAAAAUAGAAAAAUAAGGAAUUUCGGGUUUUUAGGAUGACUUCCACUAUUUAGUUCUUAAAUAGAGGCUUUUGAUCAUUGAUUUUUUCCUAGUUAAUCAACAAAGAAUCGUAAUAAUUUGAGAUGACUUUCUUAAAAAAACAUUUUUUUUAUCCUAAAACGCAAAAACAGCAGAACACAUGAAAGUUAGGGCAAACAAAUGUUAAAACACAACACAUAUGACUAUAAUAAUAGUUAGACUAUGAUAAUGGUUAAAAUCUACAAGAAUCCUCGACAACGACGCCAAUUUGAUCCGCUGUCGCACACGGGUCAAAACGAGUAAUUAGAAAACUGUAGUUUAGCGGAAGCGACAACUCGAGUAUCGUAUCGCAAGGAUUCUUGUAUUAUUCUUAACCUAAUGAAAUCGAUUUAGGGGGGUUUAUGUUUAGUAGUCGAUUUAGAAAACAAAGCAAAAUAAUGAUUAAAAUAAGAGAUUAUAAAAUAAGUCAAUCUACUAUUUUCGGUUUCCGGCUAAUCAAUGGUUUUUACCUACCAAUUCCCUAAGCGGCUUCGAUCUCUAUUCAAUUCAAAUUCAAUUGACAAGCGCAAUAGAUAUAUGACAAAUUUAUAUUCCUAUAUUCCAAAUUAAGCAAACGGAUAAAUACAAUCGUGAAUUAAACAAACACGAUUUACAAACGCAAUUUAACGACAAAGCGACGAUUAAUAGUUAGGAAUGCAAUCAUACAAAUUUAAUCAAAACCAUUCCAUAAAAUACAGAUUAAGCAAAUGAAAUUUCAUAGAUAUCUUAACUUUCUCUUGCUUUAAUUUAACUAUCUUAUUUAACCUCAAAGCCUUGGAAAUUCGGUUACAGCAGAUUGACUCUAGGAGAUUAAUUCCUCUUCAUGAUCGCACAAAAGCAAAAAGUUAUUAUGAAUAAUGUGUCUUUUUCUACAGUACAGCGGCUGCCCUUUUAAACAGAAUAAGAGUUUCACUAAUAAUUCAAACUGGGCCAGAAAACCUAAAUUCGGCCCAACAAAUGGCCAAAAAGAAAAUAUUUCCUAAAGUACGAAACUUCAACGAAUUAAUUGAACAAUUAUAUAAAAGAAAAUAUUUCCUAUGUACGAAACUUCACUCCGAAUCAGCUUUUGACUUCAACAUAAAAGUUGUAGCUCUUUCUCUUAGCUUUCCAACGCAUGUCAGAACUUGCAAAAGGGCAUCCCGUAGCUCAAGUUAUGGUCCGAACAGUGGACAGAUAUCAAAUAACCACUAAAACUGAAAAAUAGCAAACGAAAAUAGAUUAAAGGCAACCAUGAACUUAAAUCUAAAAACAUAAUAAAAUAGUAAAAUAAAAAAAAUAAAUUAGAUAAAUGCCCAAGUACAAUUAUAGAAGAAUGUGUAUCAAAAUGCAUUGAUCAACGGUAAACUACCCCUACCCCAUAGCUUGCCCGAAACGGUUAGAGGACACCAAUUAUAUAGCUUUUCAUCAUCACUCUUCAAGGAGGAGGAAAAUCACAAUUCACAAACACACAAUAAUUCACUCUUAUCACUACAGAAUGACAACCAUUAUUGUUCAUCACCACCUUCAAUCAUCAGAUACAGAACAUUCUGUAGAACCCUCUCAAUUCUACCACCCUAUAAAUCGGCAACAAUAAUUCAUAAUCAUUCAUCAACCACAAUCACACAUAGCAACAAGAACAACACCAAGCAGCAGCAUACACCUACAGACUAAGAGACUGAAGAAGAAGGAGGAUUUGUGACAGAAAAAGGUUGAGAUUCGAAGCUUCUUACCUCAGUAGAGCCUUUGGUGUUAUUGCUUUUGUGAAGCCAAGCUUCUCUACGAUGAAGGUAUUUCGAUGAAGACAAAGCUCCAAAUGACAAGAAUGCAAAGAUGUUAUUCAAAGAUAAAGCAUCAUGAUUCAAGAAUUUAAGUUAUUGCAUUUCAAGAAGGUAUAAUGAUAAUAUUUAUCUUCACUAAAGUCUUAGAUGCUCAAGUAUUCAAACAAUCAUUGCUUAACUUUUUCUUGUGCAUGGCAAAUGUCUUAGGCUUAUAUUUUUCAUGUUUAUAACUAAGUAAACCGAUUUACCUUUAGUGAAAUCGAUUUACCAUUGAAGCCUAUACAUUUCCAAAUGCAAAGAAUUAAUUUUUCAAUUGGGUAAAUCGAUUUACUUCUUAUGGAAAUCGAUUUCUUACGGUAAAUUUUUGAAAUAUUUUUUAAACGUUGCCAUAGGGAAAUCAAUUUAUCCACUAUGUAAGUCGAUUUACCUCUGUGCAUUUUAGAAAAAUCAAUAGUUUUACUAACACCUCUUCAUGCAUCACUUUAUGGAAUCAUUUCAUUUCAACUUGACAAUUGUUCAUGAUAUUUUUCAUACAUUUACCAUGAUUCAUUAGAGGUGUUAUGCACAUAUAAAUACAUGAUUUUUCAAAUUCAAAAAUGACAUCUUCCAAUCAAAACUUUUAGAAUUUUCAGAAUUCACAUUUCUUGUUGUAAACUUUUAUUCAAGAUAUUUUUUGCAUAUUUUCACAUCACUCAAAUCAGAAAAUACUUGAGCAAUUUAACACCUUUGUGUUUGUGACUUUUUGUCAUUGGAAGAGAAGAUCAAGUACAUUGAUAUAUCACUUAGUGUGAUAAUUAUACUACAAACUUUACACUCAAAAACUAUUGUUGUAAUCCAUAUCUUAUUUUUCAGAAUUGUUGAAAAUAAGAUGGUUUGUUUUGUAUUGCUUAUGUUUUUCCAGAAUUGUUGCAAACAAGUGCGUGUGCAAGAAAAGAGAGGAUUGUUUUCUUUUCUUGUGGUGAUAGUUUUCAAGAGGAUUGUUCUUGAUAAUUUGGUUAGAGUCUUGGUAGGAAGAGCUAACAAUAAAAAAUCUCUUACAUGUGGUAAGGGGACUAGACGUACCUUCGGAUUGUGAAGGGAACUAGGAUACAUCUCGGUGUUCUUUAUUUUUCGCAUUUUAUCGCUUUCAUUGUCUAACCAAAAAAAAAGGAAGAACAAAUAUUCAUAAAAGUCCGAGAAUUUUUAAAGUCCUAAUUCACCCCCCACUUACAAUUGGUAUAAGAGCAGGUUAUAGGUAACCUACUCCUAAAAGAUCCAAAUGGCUUCCGCAAACUAAAAUCCUAUUUUUGGAGACGGUGGCAGCAAUAACAAUCCCCCACUAUUUUAUGGAGAAUAUUUCAAUUUUUAGAAAAUACACAUGAAGGCGCAUCUAGAGUCUCAAGGAAAAUAUGUUUGGAAAGUUAUCCUAUAAGGUCAUUUCGUUCCUACUACAGUUGUUAAUGGCAUUGGCAUUUCUAAGCGUGAAGCAUCAUGGGAUGAAGAUGAUGAGAACAAGGUUCUUUAUGACAAGAAAACAAUAAAUCUUCUUCAAGGUGCUCUUGGCAUGAAUGAGUUCUUUCGCAUUUCAACAUGUACAUAGGCAAAAGAAAUAUGAGAUAUUUUGGUUGAAACACAUGAAGGAACCGCAUAAGCUAAAAGAUCAAGAUUGAAUACGUUAAAUCAAGAAUACAAAUUAUUCUGAAUGCAGCCCGGAGAAUAAAUUCUCGACUUGCAGAAAAGAUUUGUGCAUUUGACGAAUCACUUGAAAAUACACGGUAAGACUUUAACUAAAAAUGAACUUAAUCUUAAAAUACUCAGAUCUUUAACUAGGGAAUGACAACUGAAAGUGACAGUGAUAUCCGAAAAGAAAAAUCUAUCAACGAUGACGUCCGCAACAUUGUUUGGUAAACUCCAACAAUAUGAGGCGGAACUUGGUAGACUUAAAAAACAUGAGAAUCUAGACAAGAAAUCCAAAAGCAUUAUCUUAAAAGUUGAUUCAAAAGAAGUUAAAAAAGAAGACAACCCGGAGGAAGACGAUAACUUCAUGCUUAUUGUAAAAAGGUUAGGUAAAUAUUUUGGUACUAAUGAAAAGUCUAACUUUGCAAGAAAGAAGAAAUAUUUUAACAAGAAGGAAACAUCUAUGUCUACUCAAAACAUCACUUGCUAUGAAUGUGGAAAGCAUGGACAUAUAAAGACGAAUUGUCCAAAACUCAACAAAAGAAAUGAGUAAAAAUCUAAAAGAGUCUACAUUGCAUGGGAAGAUAAUGAAGUGAGUUCAUCUUCCGAUUCCGAAAAUGAAGAAUGUGUUAAUCUUGCAUUGAUGGCUGCAUGUCAUUCUGAUGAUGACGAAGAAGAGGUUAGUAAUGAAACAUAUUCUCAUAAUGAUACCCAAGGUGCUAUUUAUGAACUUCUUAAUGAAUGUAAGAUUUUGUAUAAAACGCUGUCACCACAAAAGAAACAAAUCUUAUCUCUUGAAGAAAAGAUUGACACCAUGGAAAAGAAUUUUGAAGUUGAAAAAUAAAACUUUCUUGAAAAAGAAAAGUAAGAUCUUACAUGCAAAAAUUGUGAUUCACUUACUUGCCAAAUUGUUCAAUUAAAAAGAGUUCUUGAAAGAUAUGAAAAAGGACAAGUUAGAUUGGAAAAUGUUCUUAGUCAACAAAGAUAUUCAAAUGAUAAAAGCGGUCUUGGUCAUUCUAAGUUCAACAAACCAAGUACUAAUGAAACCAUCUUUGUUAAGGCAAGUGACCAAUCCAACAAGGAAAAAUUGAAUAGAGCAUAAAAACUUCAUCAACAUCCUAAGAAGAGAUUUCCUAAAAAUAAAUCAUAUGUUCCUAGGUAUAGAAGUACUUUUGUGCCUACAUGAUUUUAUUGUGGUAUAAAUGGCCAUACACCUAAUGUCUGCUAUGUUAGAAACUUUAGUAUGGCAAGUGAGCAUUAUGUGUGGGUUAAGAAAGAUACUAAUUAUGAAGGACCCAAGGCAUAUUGGAUACCUAACAAAACAUAAUUUGUUUUGUAGGUAUGUUUGAAGACCACUUCAAAUCUAUGGUAUCUCGAUAGUGGUUGUUAGAAACAUAAUCAUGUUCAACUGCAGAUAAACAAAACACAAAAAAUAGUGAAAUUCCAAAUUGAGUCCAGAGUGAAAUUUCAGUUAAUUAACACAACAAACAAACAUCUCCACGCUUCAUAAUUAAUUGAUUUUAAUUCUAACUUGAUUUCAUCUUUCACCAUAAUACUUCUAAUUUAAUCAACCUAAUGACAAAACUUAUUAACUUAAAACCGAUUUCACUAACAACUAACUUUCAUCAUAGUUAACUAACUUCAGUUCCAUUCUAACAGGUAAUUGAAUUCCAAACUCUAACCUCCAUUCAACUAACAUUAACAAAAACACUAAUAUUGUCAGUUAACUUCUAACUAACUUUCCUCUUCAAUUACUAACCAUCUAAUUCUGCCCUAACGGUUAACUACCCCUGCCCCAUAGCUUGCUUGAAACGGUUAGAGGACACUCAUUAUAUAGCUUCUCAUCAUCACUAUCCAAGGGGAGGAAAAUCACAAUUUACAAACACAUAAUCAUUCACUCUCCUCAAUGCAGAAUCACAACCAUUAUUGUUCAUAAUCAUAACCACCUCCAAUCAUCAACGACAGAACAUUCUGCGGAAUUUUCUCAAUUCUACCAACCUAAAAAUCAGUAACAACAAUUCAUAAUCAUUCAUCAACCACAAUCACACAGAGAAACAAGAACAACACCAAGCAAUAUCAUACACCUAUGGACUAAGAGCAUGAAGAAGAAGGAGGAUUUGUGACAGAAGAAGGUUGAGUUUCGAAGCUUCUUACCUCAGUAGAGCCUUUUGUGUUCUUGCUUCGACUUCAUCUUCUUUGUUGCAACAAAUUUCGGGAUAAGCCAUGGUCUCGUAGGUCGGCAUUUGAUUUUCCUUUCCUUUCCCUUUGCUCCAAAUUCCUUUACCCGCAAUGUAGCCCUGCGUAACCUGAACCAAACCCCUAAGGUGUGGGUUCAGAUUGAAGCUCCAACCAUUUAAUUUCACUUUUCAUAGCUUAGGGUUCUUGAUUUUAGUUGAUUAUUUUGGUGGAUAUAAGGAAAGUUUGGCAAGAUAAUAGAAGAGAGGAUAAAGCAAGGAUCAUUUUGGUGGCAGUUAUUUGCGUUUUGGCUUAACUCUGCCUCUGGCACGGCGGAGUGGCGGUUUCCGACAAAGGAAUUUGAGAUAAGGGAGGGAGAGCUUAAGCGGAUAAUUGAAAGUAGGAAUUCCUGAUGGCAUUUCCCUAUAA
This 11372-nucleotide long non-coding RNA is filed under the name Lathyrus oleraceus (garden pea). Its description in RNAcentral is "Pisum sativum (pea) long non-coding RNA (PSAT_LNC036313)". Lineage: Eukaryota; Viridiplantae; Streptophyta; Magnoliopsida; Fabales; Fabaceae. The record is from RNAcentral.